UUUUGGCUGUAUAACAAAGAACCAAGAACAAAAACAUAUACAUGAUAAUGUACUUCACUUAGAAUCAACUAUCACCAGAAGCCAUUAGAUUCACUAAUUACAUUGUAAGAGCUACAGGACAAAGUACAAACCAUCCAACCCAAAAAGGCCUGUGGUGUUGAUGGUAUACUAAACAAAAUGAUACAGAUAGGCUAUUCUUAAAUCUUCAACAUUAUCCUCAGCUCUGACAUCUUCCCCAAUAUUUGGAACCAAGGUCUGGUCACCUCAAUCCACAAAGGUUUAGGCAAAUUGAACCUCAAUACAGCAGAAUCUGCGUCAACAGUAAUCUCUGGAAAGUCCUCUGCAGUAUCAUCAACAGCAGAGUCCAACAUUUAUUUCCUCAGUGAAAACAAUGUCCUGAGCAAAUGUCAAGUUGACUCCUUCCUAAAAUACUGUACAACAGACCCAUACACCAUGCACAACCUUAUUGACAAACAAACAAAACAAAACAAAAGCGAAGUCUUCUCAUGCUUUGUUGAUUUAAAAAAGGGCUUUACUCAAGUUAACAUUUUAGUCAUUUAGCAGACACUCUUAUCCAGAGUGACUUACAGUAAGUAGACUGCAAACAUUUUCAUACUUUUUUUCUUCUUCUUCGUCAUACUGGACCCCCUUGGGAAUUGAACCUACAACCCUGGUGUUGCAAGUGCCAUGCGCUACCAACUGAGACACAUGGGACCACUUUGGCAUUAGGGUCUGCUAAACAAAUGGUUGGAAAUUGGCAAUAAACAUACACUUUCCUCAGGGCCGUGGGGUGAGACAGGGAUGCAGCUUGAGCCCCACCAUCUUCAACAUACUGUAUAUCAAUUAAUUGGCGAGGGCACUAGAACAGUCUGCAGCACCCGGCUUCACCCUGCUGGACUUUGAACUCAAACGUCUACUGUUUGCAGAUGAUCUGGUUCUUCUGUCCCCAACCAAAGAGGACCUACAGCAGCACCUAGAUCUUCUGCACAGAUUCUGUCAGACCUGGAACCUGUCGGUGACUCUCAGUAAGCCAAAAAUAACGGUGUUCCAAAAAAGGUCCAGUUGCCAGGACAACGAAUACAAGAGAGAUCAUAUUUAGACACCGUUGCCCAAGAGCAUACCAAUAAUUAUACCUACCUCUGCCUAAACAGAGGAACAUAAAACUCAACAUCCCAAUUAGGAUCUGGCUCAGUCAGUUAUAGAACCCAUUGCCCUCUGUGAUUGUGAGGUCUGGGCUCCACUCACCAACUAAGAAUUCACUAAAUGGGACAAACACCCAAUUGAGACUCUGCAUGCAGAAUUCUGCAAAGACGCAAAACCCCAAAUGAUGCAAGCAGAGCAAAAUUAGGACUAUACCCGCUAGUUAUCAAAAUCCAGAAAAGAGCUGUUCAAUUUUACAACCACCUAAAAUGAAAAGAUGCCCACACAUUCCACCACAAAGCCCUCACCUACAGAGAUGAACCUAGAAAAGAGUCCCCUUCAGCCAGCUGGUUCUGGGGCUCUGUUUACAAACACAAACAGACCCAGGACAGCAACACAAUUAGAUCCAAACAAAUUAUGAGAAUGCAAAAAGAGAAUUAUUUGACACACUGUAAAGAAUCAACCAGAAAACAAAGCAAUUUGGAAUGCUAUCUGGAAUCAAUAGAUUAGAUACGUGCCCACUGUCCACAGUGGAAACUGAGCUGCACUUCCUAACCUCCUGCCAAAUGUAUGACCAUAUUAGAGACACAUAUUUCCCACAGAUCACAUAGACCCGGAAAGAAUUUGUAAACAAAUCAAACUGAUAAAUUCCCAUAUCUGUUAGUCAAAAUACCGUAAUGUGCCAUCACAGUAGCAAAAGUUGUGGCCCAUUGCCAUGAGAAAAAAGAGCGAGAGAGAUGCUAGGAGUAUAGUAAUAUCCAUGAGAAAAGAGAGAGAGAUGCUAGGAGUAUAGUAAUGUCCAUGAGAAAAGAGAGAGAGAUGCUAGGAGUAUAGUAACGUCCAUGAGAAAAGAGAGAGAGGGUGAGAUGCUAGGAGUAUAGUAACGUCCAUGAGAAAAGAGAGAGAGAGAUGCUAGGAGUAUAGUAAUGUCCAUGAGAAAAGAGAGAGAGAGAGAGAGAGAUGCUAGGAGUAUAGUAAUGUCCAUGAGAAAAGAGAGAGAGGGUGAGAUGCUAGGAGUAUAGUAAUGUCCAUGAGAAAAGAGAGAGAGGGUGAGAUGCUAGAGUAUAGUAACGUCCAUGAGAAAAGAGAGAGAGAGAUGCUAGGAGUAUAGUAAUGUCCAUGAGAAAAGAGAGAGAGAGAGAGAUGCUAGGAGUAUAGUAAUGUCCAUGAGAAAAGAGAGAGAGGGUGAGAUGCUAGGAGUAUAGUAACGUCCAUGAGAAAAGAGAGAGAGAGAUGCUAGGAGUAUAGUAAUGUCCAUGAGAAAAGAGAGAAGAGAGAGAGAGAUGCUAGGAGUAUAGUAAUGUCCAUGAGAAAAGAGAGAGAGAGAGAGAGAGAUGGUAGGAGUAUAGUAAUGUCCAUGAGAAAAGAGAGAGAGAGAUGCUAGGAGUAUAGUAACAUCCAUGAAAAAGAGAGAGAGAGAUGCUAGGAGUAUAGUAAUGUCCAUGAGAAAAGAGAGAGAGAGAGAGAUGCUAGGAGUAUAGUAACAUCCAUGAGAAAAGAGAGAGAGAGAGAGAGAGAUGCUAGGAGUAUAGUAAUGUCCAUGAGAAAAGAGAGAGAGAGAGAGAUGCUAGGAGUAUAGUAACGUCCAUGAGAAAAGAGAGAGAGAGAUGCUAGGAGUAUAGUAACGUCCAUGAGAAAAAGAGAGAGAGAGAGAUGCUAGGAGUAUAGUAAUGUCCAUGAGAAAAGAGAGAGAGGGUGAGAUGCUAGGAGUAUAGUAACGUCCAUGAGAAAAGAGAGAGAGAGAGAGAGAUGCUAGGAGUAUAGUAAUGUCCAUGAGAAAAGAGAGAGAUAGAGAGAUGCUAGGAGUAUAGUAAUGUCCAUGAGAAAAGAGAGAGAGGGUGAGAUGCUAGGAGUAUAGUAACGUCCAUGAGAAAAGAGAGAGAGAGAGAGAUGCUAGGAGUAUAGUAAUGUCCAUGAGAAAAGAGAGAGAGAGAGAGAGAGAGAUGCUAGGAGUAUAGUAAUGUCCAUGAGAAAAGAGAGAGAGAGAGAGAUGCUAGGAGUAUAGUAAUGUCCAUGAGAAAAGAGAGAGAGAGAUGCUAGGAGAGUAUAGUAAUGUCCAUGAGAAAAGAGAGAGAGAGAUGCUAGGAGUAUAGUAACAUCCAUGAGAAAAAAGAGAGAGA
Oncorhynchus tshawytscha (Chinook salmon) is the source of this 3260-nucleotide long non-coding RNA. NCBI's taxonomy places the organism in Eukaryota, Metazoa, Chordata, Actinopteri, Salmoniformes, Salmonidae. The record is from Ensembl.